RNAcentral lists this ribosomal RNA (447 nucleotides) under uncultured bacterium. Its description in RNAcentral is "bacterial SSU rRNA". It matches the Rfam family "Bacterial small subunit ribosomal RNA", at positions 329 to 793 of the family's 1533-position model. The record is from RNAcentral.
GACCAGACUCCUACGGGAGGCAGCAGUGGGGGAUAUUGCACAAUGGGGGGAACCCUGAUGCAGCGACGCCGCGUGAGCGAUGAAGUAUUUCGGUAUGUAAAGCUCUAUCAGCAGGGAAGAAAAUGACGGUACCUGACUAAGAAGCCCCGGCUAACUACGUGCCAGCAGCCGCGGUAAUACGUAGGGGGCAAGCGUUAUCCGGAUUUACUGGGUGUAAAGGGAGCGUAGACGGCUGUGCAAGUCUGAAGUGAAAGGCAAGGGCUCAACCUUUGGACUGCUUUGGAAACUGUGCAGCUAGAGUGUCGGAGAGGCAAGUGGAAUUCCUAGUGUAGCGGUGAAAUGCGCAGAUAUCAGGAAGAACACCGGUGGCGCAGGUGGCUUGCUGGACGGCAACUGACGCUGAGGCUCGAAAGCGUGGGGAGCAAACAGGAUUAGAUACCCCUGUAG